UGACAACUCUAGAGAUAGAGCCUUCCCCUUCGGGGGACAAAGUGACAGGUGGUGCAUGGUUGUCGUCAGCUCGUGUCGUGAGAUGUUGGGUUAAGUCCCGCAACGAGCGCAACCCUUAAGCUUAGUUGCCAUCAUUAAGUUGGGCACUCUAAGUUGACUGCCGGUGACAAACCGGAGGAAGGUGGGGAUGACGUCAAAUCAUCAUGCCCCUUAUGAUUUGGGCUACACACGUGCUACAAUGGACAAUACAAAGGGCAGCGAAACCGCGAGGUCAAGCAAAUCCCAUAAAGUUGUUCUCAGUUCGGAUUGUAGUCUGCAACUCGACUACAUGAAGCUGGAAUCGCUAGUAAUCGUAGAUCAGCAUGCUACGGUGAAUACGUUCCCGGGUCUUGUACACACCGCCCGUCACACCACGAGAGUUUGUAACACCCGAAGCCGGUGGAGUAACCUUUUAGGAGCUAGCCGUCGAAGGUGGGACAAAUGAUUGGG
This 489-nucleotide ribosomal RNA is filed under the name Staphylococcus aureus. RNAcentral describes it as "bacterial SSU rRNA". It matches the Rfam family "Bacterial small subunit ribosomal RNA", at positions 992 to 1479 of the family's 1533-position model. Lineage: Bacteria; Bacillati; Bacillota; Bacilli; Caryophanales; Staphylococcaceae. The record is from RNAcentral.